RNAcentral lists this long non-coding RNA (391 nucleotides) under Elaeis guineensis (African oil palm). RNAcentral describes it as "long non-coding RNA (EGUI_LNC007826)". The record is from RNAcentral. Lineage: Eukaryota; Viridiplantae; Streptophyta; Magnoliopsida; Arecales; Arecaceae.
UCGAAAAAUGAAGACUGGAAGCUAGAGCCACCUCAAGCUAUCACCAUUCUCUCCUCGAUAGAUGUAGAGCUAGCUGGUGGGAGUAGUGGUGGGGGUACAGCAGGGCUUUUGGUGGAAGGAGAUGCCUUGAGCCAGCUUAAAGUGGCUUGUAGGCCAUGGGUGGUCAAAUAGGCAUAAGAGAGGAUCGUGAGAGGAAUGCUAAUGCUGGUGCUGCUCUUGAGGGUUCUACUCGGGGCUCAUCUAUCUCCCAUCAUUGGUGCCAAUGAAGAUGCUCUUCUAUAAUGUACGUGGAGAUCGGGGGGAGCCGUCUUUCCACUCAACCUUUAGAAAACUUAUGGAGCAACAUAACUCAGAGCUUUUUGUUCUCACGGAGACUAGACUGUCGAGGCCC